AUGGGGCAAGAGGCACGAGAAGAAAGGAGUAGCGCCACAGGGAUGACGUUGUCGGCAGCGCCUUUGGACAGGUUCGUUCUAGAGAAGUUAUGGUGGUCAGCCGUCGCGCUGGGGAAUCGGGGAGGAUGUCGUUCGGAACACAUGGUGGGUUUAGAGGAGUGUGUCGAGGCAGUGCUCGAGGAUGGCCACGAGAAGUUGGAUUGCACACUUCUCAACGUGAUUGCGUCGUUGGUCCAGUGUCAAAUCAAAGGAACUUCUAUCACAUAUGUUCAUGCGUGGUAUGCCAAUUUCUCCUUGAUGGCAAAUAAUCCAGACAAAAUAUUUGGAAGUAAUGGCGGCCUUGCCGGAGUAAGGGGCAAAAUUGUGGGAGUGGACGCACAUCAUGUAGGCUAG
RNAcentral lists this ribosomal RNA (393 nucleotides) under Triticum aestivum (bread wheat). RNAcentral describes it as "partial small subunit ribosomal RNA". The record is from RNAcentral. Lineage: Eukaryota; Viridiplantae; Streptophyta; Magnoliopsida; Poales; Poaceae.